RNAcentral lists this ribosomal RNA (513 nucleotides) under uncultured bacterium. RNAcentral describes it as "partial 16S ribosomal RNA". It matches the Rfam family "Bacterial small subunit ribosomal RNA", at positions 28 to 523 of the family's 1533-position model. The record is from RNAcentral.
GAUGAACGCUGGCGGCGUGCCUAAUACAUGCAAGUCGAGCGAACAGACGAGGAGCUUGCUCCUCUGACGUUAGCGGCGGACGGGUGAGUAACACGUGGAUAACCUACCUAUAAGACUGGGAUAACUUCGGGAAACCGGAGCUAAUACCGGAUAAUAUAUUGAACCGCAUGGUUCAAUAGUGAAAGACGGUUUUGCUGUCACUUAUAGAUGGAUCCGCGCCGCAUUAGCUAGUUGGUAAGGUAACGGCUUACCAAGGCGACGAUGCGUAGCCGACCUGAGAGGGUGAUCGGCCACACUGGAACUGAGACACGGUCCAGACUCCUACGGGAGGCAGCAGUAGGGAAUCUUCCGCAACGGGCGAAAGCCUGACGGAGCAACGCCGCGUGAGUGAUGAAGGUCUUCGGAUCGUAAAACUCUGUUAUUAGGGAAGAACAAAUGUGUAAGUAACUAUGCACGUCUUGACGGUACCUAAUCAGAAAGCCACGGCUAACUACGUGCCAGCCGCCGCAGUAA